GUUUUAAUAGUUUAAUUCAAAAUACUGGUCUUGUAAACCAGAAAUGAGGCUUGCCUUUUAAAACU
RNAcentral lists this transfer RNA (65 nucleotides) under Cyphonistes vallatus. RNAcentral's name for it is "tRNA-Thr". It matches the Rfam family "tRNA". From Rfam's summary of the family: Transfer RNA (tRNA) molecules are approximately 80 nucleotides in length. Their secondary structure includes four short double-helical elements and three loops (D, anti-codon, and T loops). Lineage: Eukaryota; Metazoa; Arthropoda; Insecta; Coleoptera; Scarabaeidae. The record is from RNAcentral.